UACAGAGGGUGCGGACGUUGUCCGGAAUUAUUGGGCGUAAAGAGCUCGUAGGCGGUUUGUCGCGUCGGCCGUGAAAACUUGGGGCUUAACCCCAAGCCUGCGGUCGAUACGGGCAGACUUGAGUUCGGCAGGGGAGACUGGAAUUCCUGGUGUAGCGGUGAAAUGCGCAGAUAUCAGGAGGAACACCGGUGGCGAAGGCGGGUCUCUGGGCCGAUACUGACGCUGAGGAGCGAAAGCGUGGGGAGCGAACAGG
This 253-nucleotide ribosomal RNA is filed under the name uncultured bacterium. RNAcentral's name for it is "partial 16S ribosomal RNA". It matches the Rfam family "Bacterial small subunit ribosomal RNA", at positions 524 to 776 of the family's 1533-position model. The record is from RNAcentral.